This 76-nucleotide transfer RNA is filed under the name Gammaproteobacteria bacterium GWE2_37_16. RNAcentral describes it as "tRNA-Val". It matches the Rfam family "tRNA". From Rfam's summary of the family: Transfer RNA (tRNA) molecules are approximately 80 nucleotides in length. Lineage: Bacteria; Pseudomonadati; Pseudomonadota; Gammaproteobacteria. The record is from RNAcentral.
GGGUGCUUAGCUCAGUUGGUAGAGCUUCGCCUUUACACGGCGGAGGUCGGGGGUUCGAGACCCUCAGCACCCACCA